RNAcentral lists this transfer RNA (76 nucleotides) under Gammaproteobacteria bacterium. Its description in RNAcentral is "tRNA-Thr". It matches the Rfam family "tRNA". Rfam says of the family: Transfer RNA (tRNA) molecules are approximately 80 nucleotides in length. Their secondary structure includes four short double-helical elements and three loops (D, anti-codon, and T loops). RNAcentral also lists the same sequence under 2 other names. The record is from RNAcentral. Lineage: Bacteria; Pseudomonadati; Pseudomonadota; Gammaproteobacteria.
GCCGACUUAGCUCAGUUGGUAGAGCAACUGAUUCGUAAUCAGUAGGUCCGCGGUUCGAAUCCGCGAGUCGGCACCA